RNAcentral lists this transfer RNA (73 nucleotides) under Candidatus Woesearchaeota archaeon. Its description in RNAcentral is "tRNA-Pro". It matches the Rfam family "tRNA". Rfam says of the family: Transfer RNA (tRNA) molecules are approximately 80 nucleotides in length. Their secondary structure includes four short double-helical elements and three loops (D, anti-codon, and T loops). The record is from RNAcentral. Lineage: Archaea; Nanobdellati; Candidatus Woesearchaeota.
GGGGCUAUAGUUUAGCUUGGUAGAAUAUGGCUUUCGGGAGGCUAUGGCCGAGGUUCAAAUCCUCGUAGCCCCA